AGCGAACGCUGGCGGCAGGCCUAAAACAUGCAAGUUGAACGCCGUAGCAAUACGGAGUGGCAGACGGGUGAGUAACACGUGGGAACAUACCCUUUGGUUCGGAACAACACAGGGAAACUUGUGCUAAUACCGGAUAAGCCCUUACGGGGAAAGAUUUAUCGCCGAAGGAUUGGCCCGCGUCUGAUUAGCUAGUUGGUGGGGUAACGGCCCACCAAGGCUACGAUCAGUAGCUGGUCUGAGAGGAUGAUCAGCCACACUGGGACUGAGACACGGCCCAGACUCCUACGGGAGGCAGCAGUUAGGAAUCUUGGACAAUGGGCGGCAAGCCUGAUCCAGCCAUGCCGCGUAAGUGAUGAAGGCCUUAGGGUUGUAAAGCUCUUUCGGCGGGGACGAUAAUGACGGUACCCGCAGAAGAAGCCCCGGCUAACUUCGUGCCAGCCGCCGCCGUAAG
Molecule: ribosomal RNA, 451 nt
Filed under: uncultured bacterium
Lineage: Bacteria
Description: bacterial SSU rRNA
Rfam family: Bacterial small subunit ribosomal RNA
Source: RNAcentral